This 492-nucleotide ribosomal RNA is filed under the name uncultured bacterium. RNAcentral describes it as "partial 16S ribosomal RNA". It matches the Rfam family "Bacterial small subunit ribosomal RNA", at positions 28 to 505 of the family's 1533-position model. The record is from RNAcentral.
GACGAACGCUGGCGGCGUGCUUAACACAUGCAAGUCGAACGGAAAGGCCUGCUUUCCCUUGUGGCUUGCGGGUACUCGAGUGGCGAACGGGUGAGUAACACGUGAGUGAUCUGCCCCCAACUUGGGUAUAAGCCUGGGAAACUGGGUCUAAUUCCCGAUAGGACUGCAGUGUGGUGCCUGUGGUGGAAAACGAUUUUCUAGUGGUUGGCGAUGAGCUCGCGGCCUAUCAGCUUGUUGGUGGGGUAAUGGACUACCAAGGCGACGACGGGUAGCCGGCCUGGGAGGGUAGACGGCCAGAGAGGGAGUGCGGUACGGCCCAGACUCAGACGGGAGGCAGACGUGGGGAAGAUGGCACAGUGGGGGGAAGUGUGAUGCAGCGAAGACGCGUGGCGGAUGAUGGCGUGUGGGUUGUAAACUCCUUAGGACCGCGAGGAAGCCACCUGGUUGGAAGGAUGGUGACGGUAGUGGUAGAAGAAGCACCGGAUAACUACG